CAGUCGCCACGGGAAUACGGAGGGUGCAAGCGUUAAUCGGAAUUACUGGGCGUAAAGCGCACGCAGGCGGUCUGUCAAGUCAGAUGUGAAAUCCCCGGGCUUAACCUGGGAACUGCAUUUGAAACUGGCAGGCUAGAGUCUUGUAGAGGGGGGUAGAAUUCCAGGUGUAGCGGUGAAAUGCGUAGAGAUCUGGAGGAAUACCGGUGGCGAAGGCGGCCCCCUGGACAAAGACUGACGCUCAGGUGCGAAAGCGUGGGGAGCAAACAGGAUUAGAUACCCGCGUAGUCCCUGUCUCUUAUAC
RNAcentral lists this ribosomal RNA (301 nucleotides) under uncultured bacterium. RNAcentral's name for it is "partial 16S ribosomal RNA". It matches the Rfam family "Bacterial small subunit ribosomal RNA", at positions 509 to 807 of the family's 1533-position model. The record is from RNAcentral.